CACGUAGGGCGCAAGCGUUGUCCGGAAUUAUUGGGCGUAAAGAGCUCGUAGGCGGCCGGUUGCGUCUGCUGUGAAAUCCCGGGGCUUAACCCCGGGCGUGCAGUGGAUACGGGCUGGCUGGAGGCAGGCAGGGGAGAAUGGAAUUCCCGGUGUAGCGGUGAAAUGCGCAGAUAUCGGGAGGAACACCGGUGGCGAAGGCGGCUCUCUAGUACGGUACUGACGCUGAGACGCGAAAGCGUGGGGAGCGAACAGG
This 253-nucleotide ribosomal RNA is filed under the name uncultured bacterium. RNAcentral describes it as "partial 16S ribosomal RNA". It matches the Rfam family "Bacterial small subunit ribosomal RNA", at positions 524 to 776 of the family's 1533-position model. The record is from RNAcentral.